Paramuricea clavata is the source of this 499-nucleotide non-coding RNA. The record is from the annotation of a GenBank genome assembly. NCBI's taxonomy places the organism in Eukaryota, Metazoa, Cnidaria, Anthozoa, Malacalcyonacea, Plexauridae.
GGAUUAGUGAUGAGUCUAUGGAUGGCCCACUAGUAAAUUUUCAUUUAUAUCAAAUUAUAAUUUCUCAAAACUAAGCGCUUUAAAAAAAUACUUUGUAGGCAUAUUAGCACCAGUCAUAGGGCCAUUAUUGUUGAAUUAUAAUAUGAAUAAAAAUAAUAUAUUGUAAUUUUUCAAUUACCUUCACAGUGACAGUGCUGUCAGACUGCCAGUGCAAGCAGCCGUGAGACAUCACAAACAACGCGGAUUCUUCGGCCAGGAAGAUAAAAAUUAGACGUGCUAGCUUCUUGUUAUUUUCUCUCUCUAGACAUCUUUAUUUUUGAAGAGAAAUUACUUAUCUAAAGGUAUAUUUUAGCAAAAAAAUACAUUUCCAAACUGAAAUAUUUCAUCUCAAGAAGGCCAUGAAAAAUUUGUACGCCAGCAAUGAAUUGGUCAGCGCCAAGGCAAAUUCGCUUUCGCGCAUGCACUAAAAUGUCCAUGAAUCGUGGAGAUUUUCGCAGCC